Molecule: non-coding RNA, 100 nt
Filed under: Vibrio chagasii
Lineage: Bacteria; Pseudomonadati; Pseudomonadota; Gammaproteobacteria; Vibrionales; Vibrionaceae
Description: Purine
Rfam family: Purine riboswitch aptamer
About the family: Riboswitches are metabolite binding domains within certain messenger RNAs that serve as precision sensors for their corresponding targets. Allosteric rearrangement of mRNA structure is mediated by ligand binding, and this results in modulation of gene expression.
Source: RNAcentral
UCCGCGCAAACGAUUAAAUGCUGUAUAUGUCUAGUAAAAAGGUCUAGACGUUUCUACUACCGAGCCUAUCUUGGUGACUACAGUUUUUAGUGUAGAGACC